GGAAGGAUCAUUAGCAGUGCGCGGAUACGUGGCACCAACGAACCAAAACACGAGCAAACACGAGACCGCCGGCAACGGAUCUCUUGGCUCCGGCGCCGAGGAAGAACGCAGCAAGAGGCGAUACGUGACGCGAAUCGCAAGGCCUGUGAGUCGUCAGUGUUCGAACGCAGCGCACCGCGAGGUGUGUCCGUCUGAGCGUGGUUUCAGGUGUUGGCCGGGGCGGCCUGGCCCGAAUGCGCCGGACCGCGAGCCAGGUGGCGCGGCGAGGCAGGGUGGUGGUGUCAUGCACACCGCACGCAACGCACCGCCUCAGACGGACAGGAGGACCCGCUGAACUUAAGCAUAUCAGUAGGCGGAGGAGAAGAAACUAACCAGGAUUCCCGCAGUAACGGCGAGUGAAGAGGGAGGAGCCCGACACGAACCGCGGCGCGGGAUGUGUGGCGCGGCGAGCACCGCCGCCCGGAGCCAGGUCCCCUGGAACGGGGCGCCGCAGAGGGUGACAGCCCCGUGGGCGCAGGGCGGCGGCGCGGCCGCGCGAGCGAGUCGGAUUGCUUGGGAGUGCAGUCCCAACGGGUGGUACGCGCCAUCCAAGGCUAAAUACGGCCGGAGACCGAUAGCGAACCAAGUACCGUGAGGGAAGGAUGAAAAGGACUUUGGAAAGAGAGUCAAAAGUGCGUGAAAUUGCCGGCGUGGAAGCGUGUCCGGGUGCGUGCGCGCGGACACGGCCCGUCUUGAAACACGGACCAAGGAGUCUAGCGGGCGUGCGAGUGCGAGCAUGGACGUGCUUGUGCGGAGCGAGAGCGGCGCAUCGAGCCCACGGGUGCAGAUGGAGGCAGCACGGACGCUAGGACCCGAAAGAUGGUGAACUAUGCCUGGACAGGGCGAAGCCAGGGGAAACGCUGGUGGAGGCUCGCAGCGGUUCUGACGUGCAAAUCGAUCGUCGGAUCUGGGCAUAGGGGCGAAAGACCAAUCGAACCGUCUGGUAGCUGGUUCCCCC
RNAcentral lists this unclassified non-coding RNA (997 nucleotides) under uncultured fungus. Its description in RNAcentral is "sequence contains 18S rRNA gene, ITS1, 5.8S rRNA gene, ITS2, 28S rRNA gene". The stretch from base 304 to 997 matches the Rfam family "Eukaryotic large subunit ribosomal RNA", at positions 1 to 961 of the family's 3401-position model. Lineage: Eukaryota; Fungi. The record is from RNAcentral.